Long non-coding RNA from Patella vulgata (common limpet), 401 nucleotides. RefSeq lists it as uncharacterized. NCBI's taxonomy places the organism in Eukaryota, Metazoa, Mollusca, Gastropoda, Patellidae. The record is from RefSeq and is a predicted model, not a curated record. The transcript has 3 exons.
UUUAUCAUGAAACCGGUGGUGGCGGUGUGGCUGGUGAAAGGAAUAGUGUGACGUAUGCAAAACCCGAGAUUUACAGUACUUUUAUCAAUCCGACCUUUUACGAAGAUGUCUACGAAAGAUGGCGACGACGCGAAUCAGAGGAUCGAUAUGCAGCAGAGGCACUAUAUGAUUCACCAUGGCAACAUAGUAAAAGACCUGAGCCUGGAGAUGGUUCCGAUUUAAGAUGGAGUACACUUAGUUUAAGCGCACAUGAUAAUUAUGACUAUGGGAGAUUUGGCAAAAUACCACGAUCUCACGUUUCUGAGCCUUCAGAGGCUGAUGACAUCACCCCACUUUGAUCAUUGAAUGGUGUGUAACGGUGCUACUUUAUGGAGCGGAAUUUCCCCCAUAAUUCUAACUCU